GUACGGAUCCUUCGGGAUUAGUGGCGGACGGGUGAGUAACACGUGGGAACGUGCCCUUUGGUUCGGAACAACUCAGGGAAACUUGAGCUAAUACCGGAUGUGCCCUUCGGGGGAAAGAUUUAUCGCCAUUGGAGCGGCCCGCGUCUGAUUAGCUAGUUGGUGGGGUAAAGGCCCACCAAGGCGACGAUCAGUAGCUGGUCUGAGAGGAUGAUCAGCCACAUUGGGACUGAGACACGGCCCAAACUCCUACGGGAGGCAGCAGUGGGGAAUCUUGCGCAAUGGGCGAAAGCCUGACGCAGCCAUGCCGCGUGAAUGAUGAAGGUCUUAGGAUUGUAAAAUUCUUUCACCGGGGACGAUAAUGACGGUACCCGGAGAAGAAGCCCCGGCUAACUUCGUGCCAGCAGCCGCGGUAAUACGAAGGGGGCUAGCGUUGCUCGGAAUUACUGGGCGUAAAGGGAGCGUAGGCGGACUGUUUAGUCAGAGGUGAAAGCCCAGGGCUCAACCUUGGAAUUGCCUUUGAUACUGGCAGUCUUGAGUACGGAAGAGGUAUGUGGAACUCCGAGUGUAGAGGUGAAAUUCGUAGAUAUUCGGAAGAACACCAGUGGCGAAGGCGACAUACUGGUCCGUUACUGACGCUGAGGCUCGAAAGCGUGGGGAGCAAACAGGAUUAGAUACCCUGGUAGUCCACGCCGUAACGAUGAGUGCUAGUUGUCGGCAUGCAUGCAUGUCGGUGACGCAGCUA
This 742-nucleotide ribosomal RNA is filed under the name Caulobacter segnis. RNAcentral describes it as "bacterial SSU rRNA". It matches the Rfam family "Bacterial small subunit ribosomal RNA", at positions 64 to 854 of the family's 1533-position model. The record is from RNAcentral. Lineage: Bacteria; Pseudomonadati; Pseudomonadota; Alphaproteobacteria; Caulobacterales; Caulobacteraceae.